This 223-nucleotide unclassified non-coding RNA is filed under the name Hevea brasiliensis (rubber tree). The record is from RNAcentral. Lineage: Eukaryota; Viridiplantae; Streptophyta; Magnoliopsida; Malpighiales; Euphorbiaceae.
AGCCUAACAAAGAAUUAAUUAGCCCAAACAUCCAAUAAGAAAGCUGCUUUAACCUUCUUUCUUUCUUUCAAUUAAUAUUCUUAGGACAUAGUAUCAAACUAGAAAUAAACUAAAUAUCUGAAAAUUCCAAGAUAACGAUAUUAAAAUUGAGAAAAUUAAGAAAGAGAAAAGAAAUAUGAAGCCAAAGAGAGAAAGUUGCAUUUUAAGAAGGAAAGAAAGAAGA